Molecule: ribosomal RNA, 253 nt
Filed under: uncultured bacterium
Lineage: Bacteria
Description: partial 16S ribosomal RNA
Rfam family: Bacterial small subunit ribosomal RNA
Source: RNAcentral
UACAGAGGGUGCGAGCGUUAAUCGGAAUUACUGGGCGUAAAGCGCGCGUAGGCGGCUUUUCAAGUCGAUUGUGAAAUCCCCGGGCUUAACCUGGGAACUGCAGUCGAGACUGUCUAGCUAGAGUAUGGGAGAGGGAAGUGGAAUUUCAGGUGUAGCGGUGAAAUGCGUAGAUAUCAGGAGGAACACCGGUGGCGAAGGCGGCUCUCUGGUCCACAACUGACGCUGAGGUGCGAAAGCUAGGGGAGCAAACGGG